RNAcentral lists this ribosomal RNA (415 nucleotides) under uncultured eukaryote. Its description in RNAcentral is "bacterial SSU rRNA". It matches the Rfam family "Eukaryotic small subunit ribosomal RNA", at positions 1214 to 1640 of the family's 1831-position model. The record is from RNAcentral.
CUCACCAGGUCAGGACACGGUAAGGAUUGACGGACUGAAGGCUCUUUCUCGAUUCCGUGGAAAGUGGUGCAUGGCCGUUUUGGUUGGUGGAUCGAUCCGUCUGGUUAAUUCCGUUAACGAACGAGACCUCGGCACUCCGAAUAGCGCGGCGGACGUCGCGGCCUCCGGGCCGUCUUCCGCACGAGCUUCUUAGAGGGACCGUCCCCCGCCGGGGAAGGAGGUGCGAGGCAACGACAGGUCUGUGAUGCCCUUAGAUGUUCUGGGCCGCACGCGCAUUACACUGACGCGUCCAACGGGUGACUCCCGACCCGAAGGGGCCGGGGAAUCCGCAAGGCGCGUCGUGAUGGGGAUUGAACGUUGCAAUUGUUGUUCACGAACGAGGAAUUCCUAGUAGGCGCGGGUCAUCAACCCCGCG